This 427-nucleotide ribosomal RNA is filed under the name uncultured bacterium. RNAcentral describes it as "partial 16S ribosomal RNA". It matches the Rfam family "Bacterial small subunit ribosomal RNA", at positions 355 to 774 of the family's 1533-position model. The record is from RNAcentral.
UGGGGAAUAUUGCACAAUGGGGGAAACCCUGAUGCAGCCAUGCCGCGUGUGUGAAGAAGGCCUUCGGGUUGUAAAGCACUUUCAGCGAGGAGGAAAGGUUGAUGCCUAAUACGUAUCAACUGUGACGUUACUCGCAGAAGAAGCACCGGCUAACUCCGUGCCAGCAGCCGCGGUAAUACGGAGGGUGCAAGCGUUAAUCGGAAUUACUGGGCGUAAAGCGCACGCAGGCGGUUGGAUAAGUUAGAUGUGAAAGCCCCGGGCUCAACCUGGGAAUUGCAUUUUAAACUGUCCAGCUAGAGUCUUGUAGAGGGGGGUAGAAUUCCAGGUGUAGCGGUGAAAUGCGUAGAGAUCUGGAGGAAUACCGGUGGCGAAGGCGGCCCCCUGGACAAAGACUGACGCUCAGGUGCGAAAGCGUGGGGAGCAAACA